GAGUUGUUAUCUGAACCUCCUCAAAAGGGGGGCUAGGGUAGCAGUAGUCAUCAUCAAAGUCCACCUUGACAUUCUCUUGGUGCGUACUGGGUGUUGACCUCCUUUUUUUCUGUGAAUUGCUAUCUAGCAAUAGGUAGUUAGUUCCAGAUAGUUUACUUUGAAAAAAUUAGAGUGUUCAAAGCAGGCACAACCUGGCAUCAUGAAUACAUUAGCAUGGGAUAAUAGAAUAUGACAUUGGUCUUAUUUUGUUGGUUUCUAAGGCCAAAGUA
RNAcentral lists this ribosomal RNA (269 nucleotides) under uncultured fungus. RNAcentral's name for it is "partial small subunit ribosomal RNA". The stretch from base 44 to 269 matches the Rfam family "Eukaryotic small subunit ribosomal RNA", at positions 630 to 864 of the family's 1831-position model. The record is from RNAcentral. Lineage: Eukaryota; Fungi.